Molecule: long non-coding RNA, 3100 nt
Organism: Mus musculus (house mouse)
Lineage: Eukaryota; Metazoa; Chordata; Mammalia; Rodentia; Muridae
Exons: 2
Source: RefSeq, a predicted model, not a curated record
AUUUUACUUAUUUAUUUAUUUAUUUAUUCAUUUAUUUAUUAUUCCAUGUGUGUGAGUACUCUGUCGUUGUCUUUAGACGCCAGAAGAAGGCAUCGGAUCCCCAUUACAGAUGGUUGUGAGCCACCAUGUGGGUGCUGGGAAUUGAACUCAGAACUUAUGGAAGAGCAGUCAGUGCUCUUAACCGCAGAGCCAUCUCUCUGGCCCAGAAGAGGAAGAGCUAAUUCAUUUCUGGAAUCCUGGGCUACUGAGCCCCUACUUCCUGUCCCAUUUGUUUAUUUAUUAAAUAUAUUCUGAGACAGGUUCUGACCAUGUCACCCUUGCUGGCCUCAAACACCUUAUGUAGAUCAGGUUGGCCUCGAACUCACAGAGAUCUGCUUGCUUCAAUUGCCUGAAUCUUUGGCCAUCAUGCCCAGGUAUUCCCUCUUGUUCUAAUGAUAAGAGUAAUUUGGUUUGAUACGCAGUGUUUACUAUGACUACAUAAAUGUGCUCAUCGCUCAACUGUGCAGUGGGCUGUGCUUGUAUUUCCUUCUCUGUUCACUUUAGGGUUUCCCUGUAAUUGACACUUGUCCGUGAGUUCUAUGGCUAGAGUGUUCAUGCUCUACAAUUUGUCCCUGUGACCAAGCUGGAUCCACCCCCCAGGAUUUGGAGGUACAAUGUGACCAGCUGCCCCCAGCUCCCUCUGUUGUGCCUAUCCCACCAUGACAGGCUGUACCCUUAAAUAAUGAGCCCAAAUAAACCAGGCCUUCAGUUGUUCUUGUCGGGAAUUUUGUUUUGGCAUAAGGAAAAGAACUGACACAGGAUCUGUGGAGAAGUAAGCGGGUACUCCAGCAGCCCAUGGCCGGAUUUCAGAAUCGGGCAUGCUAGCACGAAGAAGGCAUAGUUACGGAGAUGCGGAAUAGCUUCCGUCCUGACUCUAGGGACAGUGCCAGGAACUGAAGGGUACGGAGUACCUGGUCAUUUCUGAUUGCUGUGGACAAUUUAAUGAGGAGGAACUUGGAGCUGGAUGUACAUUCUGGGUUCAGAGCAAGUUCAGGAAAUGAGACUCUUGGCGUGGUGGUUGAGAGAGUCUGCCUCCCAGCCGCAGGACAGAGACUGCCAAAGGUCAGUGUCUGAAUCCUGUGGAUUGUCAAGUUGUAAAAUCUUCAAAUCCACAAAUCGCCAGUGCUGUGAUGAUGUCAUUGGUAAGCAGUGAGCUUUCUCAGCCCGAUAGGGGCAGAUCACAUCUGUCGGAGUUGUGUGACAGAUCCCAUCCUCCAUAUACACUUCCAGGGAGUCAGGGCUUGUAAUACAUGUUGUGUCUACCUGGGCAGCAUUGAAAUGAACCCCAAUAAUGACUGCAGCUGACAUUAAACACGCACUAACUCAAGACGACCUCCCUCUCCUGGUCUGCUGGAUCACAUGAGGUCUGGCAUACAACUAGUCUUGAUCAUUACAUCAAACAAGUUUUACACUAUACAGAGUGACUGCCAGUAGCGACAUCUGUAGCAUCAUCAUUAAUAAAACCAAAAGGCAUCUCUGGUGAAUGGAAAACCCAGAGGGAAUAAAUAAUGUUCACAAAUGUUACCCUGGUGUACACGUGCUAUAACAGCCUUUUGCUUUCAGGCUUUCCCUUCUGUGUGUGUGUGUGAGUGUGUAUGUACGUGUCUGUGUUUUUAUAUAGUUCAGAUUGGUCCCAUACUCAAGGCUAUCCUCCUGUCUCAGUUUCCUGACUGCUGGCAUUAGAGAUGUGUGUGUGUGUGUGUGUGUGUGUGUGUGUGUGUGUGUGUGUGUGUUUGUGUGUGUGUGCAUGCGUGCAAGGCCAGCAGAAGGCACAAACCUCUGGAACUGGAAUUCCAGGCAGUCCUGAGACUUCUGUGUUCAGAACCACAUUCAGCCCCUCUGUAAGAGUAGCACACAUACUUCACCUUGAGCCAUCUCUCCAGCCCCCAAUUAGAUUAAUUGGGGCAAAUGCAGAUAUAUAGAAAAUAUCUGAAAAUGAAAGACGAGACACUGAGGGCUGCUGAGAGGGCUCAGUAGGUAGAGAGGCUUGCGGCCAAGCCUGACAACCAGAGUUCCAUCCCUGGAGCCCACAUGGUAGGAGUGAAAAGUUUCUGUGACUUGACCGGAUGACUUCCACAUGAAUGCUGUGGUCUACGCGUCUGCUAGCUGGCAUACAUGUAUGCACACACAGAUACUAAAUAAGUUAACAAGUGUAAUCUUUAAAAAGUUGAAACAUUGUAUUUGUAAAUUACUGAUGAAAUGGCAAGACUAUAAAGCCCCUGGAGAGGGUGAUUGACAAGCAGACUGCUAAAGCCCAGUUCUGCUCUGGACACAUCACCACACCAGGCCACCUUGACUUUUAGUGUCUGUUUCACCAGGGAGCACAGGCAGUGGGGAUAGCCCUGGAUCAGGCAAGGGGAGGAAUCUGGAGGGUCUCCUUUCUAUACGUCUGAGACAGGAAAGCAAGGGUGGCACGGUGGAGUCACAAGUCAUCUCUUGCUGCCCUCCAAAGGACACCAGGCAAGUGCAGAACCAGAACUCUGGCAUUGGACAGGAGAAGAGACUGCUCUGAAGAUGACUGCUCACCAGCUGGGUGGGCCGGGAACCUCGAGGAUUUAAUUUAAAACAGUACCAGUUAUUGAGUCUCUUGGACUUCCUGCAGAAGCAAAUGGAAACGUUCUAUGGGGAAACCACUUCAAGUUCCAACAGAUACCUUCUAAGGAAGACGAGAAAUGGUUUAAGGUUAAAAAAAAUAUGAGGGAAUAGACCCGAGUUCAAAAACAGCAGAGCAAACGGCAACAGAGACCUCAGCUCUCAGGAGUGGCGUGUGCAUCACGAAAGCUUCGUAUGUUUAAAGAAAUGAAUGAUGAGUGUGCUUAUAUAGAUGAAAAUUAAAAAAAAAAAAAAAGACUAGAAACCACCCAAGCAGAUUUCCAAAAGAGUCAAAUAGACAUCAUAGGUGAAAAAUAUGGUUACCGGUCAAACAGAAAAUCUACUGACAUCCAGAGGAGAAUGGGUUGCAGCUAUAAGUUCCAUUGGAUAGCAUGAAACGUGAGUGUGCGGAAAGACGAUUGGUGGAGAAAUGACAAACUACAUGUAAUAAAAUGCGGGUGUAAAUCUA